This 431-nucleotide ribosomal RNA is filed under the name uncultured bacterium. RNAcentral's name for it is "partial 16S ribosomal RNA". It matches the Rfam family "Bacterial small subunit ribosomal RNA", at positions 29 to 507 of the family's 1533-position model. The record is from RNAcentral.
AACGAACGCUGGCGGCAGGCUUAACACAUGCAAGUCGAACGCCCCGCCAGGGGAGUGGCAGACGGGUGAGUAACGCGUGGGAACAUACCCUUUCCUGCGGAAUAGCUCCGGGAAACUGGAAUUAAUACCGCAUACGCCCUACGGGGGAAAGAUUUAUCGGGGAAGGAUUGGCCCGCGUUGGAUUAGCUAGUUGGUGGGGUAAAGGCCUACCAAGGCGACGAUCCAUAGCUGGUCUGAGAGGAUGAUCAGCCACAUUGGGACUGAGACACGGCCCAAACUCCUACGGGAGGCAGCAGUGGGGAAUAUUGGACAAUGGGCGCAAGCCUGAUCCAGCCAUGCCGCGUGAGUGAUGAAGGCCUUAGGGUUGUAAAGCUCUUUCACCGAUGAAGAUAAUGACGGUAGUCGGAGAAGAAGCCCCGGCUAACUUCGUG